Molecule: ribosomal RNA, 497 nt
Filed under: uncultured bacterium
Lineage: Bacteria
Description: partial 16S ribosomal RNA
Rfam family: Bacterial small subunit ribosomal RNA
Source: RNAcentral
GAUGAACGCUGGCGGCGUGCCUAAUACAUGCAAGUCGAGCGAACAGACGAGGAGCUUGCUCCUCUGACGUUAGCGGCGGACGGGUGAGUAACACGUGGAUAACCUACCUAUAAGACUGGGAUAACUUCGGGAAACCGGAGCUAAUACCGGAUAAUAUAUUGAACCGCAUGGUUCAAUAGUGAAAGACGGUUUUGCUGUCACUUAUAGAUGGAUCCGCGCCGCAUUAGCUAGUUGGUAAGGUUACGGCUUACCAAGGCAACGAUGCGUAGCCGACCUGAGAGGGUGAUCGGCCACACUGGAGCUGAGACACGGUCCAGACUCCUACGGGAGGCAGCAGUAGGGAAUCUUCCGCAAUGGGCGAAAGCUUGACGGAGCAACGCCGCGUGAGUGAUGAAGGUCUUCGGAUCGUAAAACUCUGUUAUUAGGGAAGAACAAAUGUGUAAGUAACUAUGCACGUCUUGACGGUACCUAAUCAGAAAGCCACGGCUAACUACGUG